UGGGGAAUAUUGGACAAUGGGGGCAACCCUGAUCCAGCAAUGCCGCGUGUGUGAAGAAGGCCUUCGGGUUGUAAAGCACUUUCAGUGGGGAAGAAAGAACCAAAAUUAAUACUUUUGGGUGUUGACGUUACCCACAGAAGAAGCACUGGCUAACUCUGUGCCAGCAGCCGCGGUAAUACAGAGAGUGCAAGCGUUAAUCGGAAUUACUGGGCGUAAAGCGCGCGUAGGUGGAUACUUAAGUCGGAUGUGAAAUCCCUGGGCUUAACCUAGGAAUUGCAUUCGAUACUGGGUAUCUGGAGUAUGGUAGAGGGAAGUGGAAUUUCCGGUGUAGCGGUGAAAUGCGUAGAUAUCGGAAAGAACACCAGUGGCGAAGGCGGCUUCCUGGACCAAUACUGACACUGAGGUGCGAAAGCGUGGGGAGCAAACAGG
This 429-nucleotide ribosomal RNA is filed under the name uncultured bacterium. RNAcentral describes it as "bacterial SSU rRNA". It matches the Rfam family "Bacterial small subunit ribosomal RNA", at positions 355 to 776 of the family's 1533-position model. The record is from RNAcentral.